AACGCUGGCGGCGUGCUUAAUACAUGCAAGUCGAGCGAGCUACUUCGGUAGCGAGCGGCGCACGGGUGAGUAACGCGUAGAUGAUCUACCCUUGAGACGGAGAUACCUCCGGGAAACUGGAGUUAAUACCCGAUAACGCACAUUAGUUGGUUCUAAUGUGUUAAAGCGGUGCAAGUCGCACUUGAGGAUGAGUCUGCGGCCUAUCAGCUAGUUGGGUAGGGGUAACGGCCUACCAAGGCGAAGACGGGUAGCUGAUCUGAGAGGAUGAUCAGCCACAGUUGGGACUGAGACACGGCCCAAACUCCUACGGGAGGCAGCAGUAGGGAAUAUUGCGCAAUGGGGGGAACCCUGACGCAGCGACGCCGCGUGAGUGAUGACGGCCUUUUUGGUUGUAAAGCUCUGUAAAGAGGGAAAAAUGUUUAUGUGAAGAGCAUAAAUUGAUGGUACCUCUAAAGUAAGGACCGGCUAAAUACGUGCCAGCAGCGGC
RNAcentral lists this ribosomal RNA (487 nucleotides) under uncultured bacterium. Its description in RNAcentral is "bacterial SSU rRNA". It matches the Rfam family "Bacterial small subunit ribosomal RNA", at positions 32 to 518 of the family's 1533-position model. The record is from RNAcentral.